Molecule: ribosomal RNA, 601 nt
Filed under: uncultured bacterium
Lineage: Bacteria
Description: bacterial SSU rRNA
Rfam family: Bacterial small subunit ribosomal RNA
Source: RNAcentral
GCGCACGAGGCCUUUACUGACGCUAAAGCUCGAAGGUGCGGGUAUCGAACAGGAUUAGAUACCCUGGUAGUCCGCACGGUAAACGAUGGAUGCCCGCUGUUUGCGAUACACUGUGAGCGGCCAAGCGAAAGCGCUAAGCAUCCCACCUGGGGAGUACGCCGGCAACGGUGAAACUCAAAGGAAUUGACGGGGGCCCGCACAAGCGGAGGAACAUGUGGUUUAAUUCGAUGAUACGCGAGGAACCUUACCCGGGCUUGAACUGCCGGCGAACGAUACAGAGAUGUUGAGGCCCUUCGGGGCGCCGGCGGAGGUGCUGCAUGGUUGUCGUCAGCUCGUGCCGUGAGGUGUCGGCUUAAGUGCCAUAACGAGCGCAACCCCUCUCCGUAGUUGCCAUCGGGUGAUGCCGGGCACUCUGCGGACACUGCCACCGUAAGGUGUGAGGAAGGUGGGGAUGACGUCAAAUCAGCACGGCCUUUACGUCCGGGGCUACACACGUGUUACAAUGGGUGGUACAGAGGGCAGGCGUCCGGCAACGUCCGUCUAAUCCCGAAAGCCAUCCUCAGUUCGGACUGGGGUCUGCAACCCGACCCCACGAAGCUGG